GAUGAACGCUGGCGGCGUGCCUAAUACAUGCAAGUCGAGCGAACAGACGAGGAGCUUGCUCCUCUGACGUUAGCGGCGGACGGGUGAGUAACACGUGGAUAACCUACCUAUAAGACUGGGAUAACUUCGGGAAACCGGAGCUAAUACCGGGUAACAUGUUGAACCGCAUGGUUCAACAGUGAAAGACGGUUUUGCUGUCACUUAUAGAUGGAUCCGCGUCGCAUUAGCUAGUUGGUAAGGUAACGGCUUACCAAGGCAACGAUGCGUAGCCGACCUGAGAGGGUGAUCGGCCACACUGGAACUGAGACACGGUCCAGACUCCUACGGGAGGCAGCAGUAGGGAAUCUUCCGCAAUGGGCGAAAGCCUGACGGAGCAACGCCGCGUGAGUGAAGAAGGUCUUCGGAUCGUAAAACUCUGUUAUUAGGGAAGAACAAAUGUGUAAGUAACUAUGCACGUCUUGACGGUACCUAAUCAGAAAGCCACGGCUAACUACGUG
RNAcentral lists this ribosomal RNA (497 nucleotides) under uncultured bacterium. Its description in RNAcentral is "partial 16S ribosomal RNA". It matches the Rfam family "Bacterial small subunit ribosomal RNA", at positions 28 to 507 of the family's 1533-position model. The record is from RNAcentral.